This 29-nucleotide non-coding RNA is filed under the name Mus musculus (house mouse). The record is from RNAcentral. Lineage: Eukaryota; Metazoa; Chordata; Mammalia; Rodentia; Muridae.
UACUAUUCUUGCCUGAUCGGCCUAAAUAA